UUCGCUUCUAGACCUUUUGGCUUAGAUCUAGUUAUCAGGUUAAUAUCUGAUACUUCCUCUAUCUGAGGAUAUAUUAAAUGAAUUUUUGGAGCAGGCAGUUGGAAUAGGAGCUUGCUCCGUCCACUCCAUACAUUGAGCUGGUAUUGCAGUACCUCCAGGAACAGUGCACCAGAG
RNAcentral lists this small nuclear RNA (174 nucleotides) under Carlito syrichta (Philippine tarsier). RNAcentral describes it as "U2 spliceosomal RNA (ENSTSYG00000022996.2)". It matches the Rfam family "U2 spliceosomal RNA". Rfam says of the family: U2 is a small nuclear RNA (snRNA) component of the spliceosome (involved in pre-mRNA splicing). Complementary binding between U2 snRNA (in an area lying towards the 5' end but 3' to hairpin I) and the branchpoint sequence (BPS) of the intron results the bulging out of an unpaired adenosine, on the BPS, which initiates a nucleophilic attack at the intronic 5' splice site, thus starting the first of two transesterification reactions that mediate splicing. The record is from Rfam by way of RNAcentral. Lineage: Eukaryota; Metazoa; Chordata; Mammalia; Primates; Tarsiidae.